AUGCAGAAGGAGUUGAAUCUCAGGCAAAGGAGAUGGUUGGAGCUCAUUAAGGAUUAUGAUAUGAGAUUGCAUUAUCACCCAGGGAAGGCUAAUGUAGUAGCUGAUGCGUUGAGCCGCAAGAGCCAUGUUAACACCCUCAUGACCGGAGAGUUACCGAAAUUAUUAGCCGAGGAUCUUCGCGAGCUAUCUUUGGAGAUAGUUCCAAGAGGCUAUUUAGCAACGUUGCAGAUUCAGUCUACCUUGAUGGAAAAGAUCAGGGAAGCUCAGAAGACAGACAAGGAGAUUGCAGAAAUAAAGGAAAGGAUGAGCAAAGGAAAAGCCAAGGGAUUUCGUGAGGAUGAGCAUGAUACCUUAUGGUUUGAGGACUGCGUUUAUGUGCCCAAUGAUCCGGAGAUCAGGAAGUUGAUCUUGCAAGAGGCCCAUGAUUCACCGUAUUCGAUUCACCCAGGAAAUACCAAGAUGUAUUUGGAUUUGAAGGAUACUUUCUGGUGGACUGGAAUGAAGAAAGAUAUUGCGGAGUAUGUAGCAGUUUGUGAUGUAUGUCAGAGAGUGAAGGCAGAGCAUCAGAAGCCAGCAGGAUUGCUACAGCCAUUGCCGAUACCCGAAUGGAAAUGGGAUAAACUAGGCAUGGAUUUUAUCACGGGAUUGCCCAGGACUCGUUCAGGCUAUGACUCAAUAUGGGUUGUAGUCGAUCGUUUGACGAAGGUAGCUCAUUUCAUCCCAGUGAAGACCACUUACACCAGUGCUAAGUUGGCAAAGAUAUACAUGACCAGGAUCGUAUGUAUGCAUGGAGUUCCGAGGACCAUUGUAUCAGAUAGAGGAACCCAGUUUACUUCAAAGUUUUGGAAUCAGUUACAUGAAACUUUGGGUACCAGGCUAGAGUUCAGUACAGCCUUUCACCCACAGACAGACGGACAUAUCGAGAGAGUCAAUCAGAUUUUGGAAGAUAUGCUGAGAGCUUGUGCGCUAGAUUAUGGAUCUAGUUGGGACGACAAUUUGCCGUAUGCAGAGUUUUGUUACAACAACAGUUAUCAAUCCAGUUUGAAGAUGGCCCCUUUCGAAGCUUUGUACGGAAGGAGGUGUAGAACACCCUUGUUCUGGAACGAAGUUGGAGACCACCAGUUGUUUGGACCAGACUUGAUUAAGGAAUCUGAACGGAAAGUGAAGUUGAUUCGCGAUAGGCUCAAAGUAGCCCAGUCCAGGCAGAAGAGUUAUGCAGACUCUAAACGCAAGGAGACAGUUUACGAAGUUGGAGACAGAGUUUACCUACGAGUAUCACCAUUUCGAGGAGUUAAGCGCUUUGGAGUUAAAGGAAAGUUAGCGCCACGUUUUGUAGGACCAUACAAAAUUUUGGAGCGUAUGGGAGAAGUUGCUUACAAACUGGAAUUGCCUGAAGGAUUGUCAGGAGUUCAUGAUGUAUUUCACGUUUCCCAGUUGAAGAAGUGCCACGCAGGGAUGGCUGAGAUACCAUUGAGAGAUACGGUGCCAUUGGAAGCGAUUCAGCUGGAUAGUGACUUGACCUAUGAGGAGAAACCAGUUAAGAUUCUUGAGUAUGCCAGCCGAGUCACCCGCAGCAAGGUUAUCAAGUUUUGCAAAGUUCAGUGGAGUCACCAUACCGAGGACGAAGCCACCUGGGAUCGAGAGGAAGAUCUACGGAAGGACCACUAUCACCUAUUUUCUAGCCAACAAGAAUCUCGAGGGCGAGAUUCAUCUUAA
This 1716-nucleotide ribosomal RNA is filed under the name Triticum aestivum (bread wheat). Its description in RNAcentral is "partial small subunit ribosomal RNA". The record is from RNAcentral. Lineage: Eukaryota; Viridiplantae; Streptophyta; Magnoliopsida; Poales; Poaceae.